GACGAACGCUGGCGGCGUGCUUAACACAUGCAAGACGAACGAUGAAGCUGGAGCUUGCUCUGGCGGAUUAGUGGCGAACGGGUGAGUAACACGUGAGAAAUCUGCCCUUGACUCUGGGAUAACUGCGGGAAACUGUAGCUAAUACCGGAUACUUUCCCUGGUGGGCAUCCACUGGGGCAGAAAGAAUUUCGGUCAAGGAUGAUCUCGCGGCCUAUCAGCUUGUUGUUGCGGUAAUGGCUCCCCAAGGCGACGACGGGUAGCCGGCCUGAGGUUGUGACCGGCCACACUGGGACUGAGACACGGCCCAGACUCCUACGGGAGGCAGCAGUGGGGAGUAUUGAACAAUGGGCGCAAGCCUGAUGCAGCAACGCCGCGUGAGGGAUGAAGGCCUUCGGGUUGUAAACCUCUUUUAGCAGGGAAGAAGCGAAAGUGACGGUACCUGCAGAAAAAGCACCGGCUAACUACGUGCCAGCAGCCGCCGUAA
This 484-nucleotide ribosomal RNA is filed under the name uncultured bacterium. Its description in RNAcentral is "partial 16S ribosomal RNA". It matches the Rfam family "Bacterial small subunit ribosomal RNA", at positions 28 to 523 of the family's 1533-position model. The record is from RNAcentral.